RNAcentral lists this transfer RNA (75 nucleotides) under Candidatus Bathyarchaeota archaeon. RNAcentral's name for it is "tRNA-Thr". It matches the Rfam family "tRNA". From Rfam's summary of the family: Transfer RNA (tRNA) molecules are approximately 80 nucleotides in length. The record is from RNAcentral. Lineage: Archaea; Thermoproteati; Candidatus Bathyarchaeota.
GCGGCCGUCGUCUAGUCUGGUUAGGACACAGACGCCGUAAGCCUGCGAUCCCGGGUUCGAAUCCCGGCGGCCGCA